This 484-nucleotide ribosomal RNA is filed under the name uncultured bacterium. RNAcentral describes it as "bacterial SSU rRNA". It matches the Rfam family "Bacterial small subunit ribosomal RNA", at positions 28 to 475 of the family's 1533-position model. The record is from RNAcentral.
GACGAACGCUGGCGGCGUGCCUAAUACAUGCAAGUCGAACGCACUCUCGUUUAGAUUGAAGGAGCUUGCUCCUGAUUGAUAAACAUUUGAGUGAGUGGCGGACGGGUGAGUAACACGUGGGUAACCUGCCCUAAAGUGGGGGAUAACAUUUGGAAACAGAUGCUAAAUACCGCAUAAAACCUAACACCGCAUGGUGUAGGGUUGAAAGAUGGUUUCGGCUAUCACUUUAGGAUGGACCCGCGGUGCAAUUAGUUAGUUGGUGAGGUAAAGGCUCACCAAGACCGUGAUGCAUAGCCGACCUGAGAGGGUAAAUCGGCCACACUGGGACUGAGACACGGCCCAGACUCCUACGGGAGCAGCAGUAGGGAAUCUUCCACAAUGGACGAAAGUCUGAUGGAGCAAACGCCGCGUGAGUGAAGAAGGUUUUCGGAUCGUAAAACUCUGUGUUGGAGAAGAAUGUAUCUGAUAGUAACUGAUCAGGUAU